RNAcentral lists this ribosomal RNA (493 nucleotides) under uncultured bacterium. RNAcentral describes it as "partial 16S ribosomal RNA". It matches the Rfam family "Bacterial small subunit ribosomal RNA", at positions 29 to 523 of the family's 1533-position model. The record is from RNAcentral.
AUUGAACGCUGGCGGCAUGCUUUACACAUGCAAGUCGAACGGUAACAGGUUAAGCUGACGAGUGGCGAACGGGUGAGUAAUGCAUCGGAACGUGCCCGAUCGUGGGGGAUAACGCAGCGAAAGCUGCGCUAAUACCGCAUACGAUCUGAGGAUGACAGAGGGGGACCGUAAGGCCCCGCGCGAUCGGAGCGGCCGAUGUCAGAUUAGGUGGUUGGUGGGGUAAAGGCUCACCAAGCCAACGAUCUGUAGCUGGUCUGAGAGGACGACCAGCCACACUGGGACUGAGACACGGCCCAGACUCCUACGGGAGGCAGCAGUGGGGAAUUUUGGGCAAUGGGCGAAAGCCUGAUCCAGCAAUGCCGCAUGCAGGAAGAAGGCCUUCGGGUUGUAAACUGCUUUUGUACGGAGCGAAAAGGCUCUCUCUAAUACAGGGGGCUCAUGACGGUACCGUAAGAAUAAGCACCGGCUAACUACGUGCCAGCCGCCGCCGUAA